CAAUAGCGUAUAUUAAAGUUGUUGCGGUUAAAAGCUCGUAGUUGGAUUUCUGUUGAAAACAGGCGGUCCACCUUUUGGGUGAGUAUCUGCAUUGGUUUCGGCAUCUUCUCGAAAAACGUCUCUGCGCUUGAUUGCGUGGAACGGAGUUCGGGACUUUUACUUUGAGGAAAUUAGAGUGUUCACGGCAGGCAUACGCCUUGAAUAUAUUAGCAUGGAAUAAUAAUAUAGGGCGUAAGUUCUAUCUUGUUGGUUUCUAGAACAUACGCAAUGAUUAAUAGGGACAAUUGGGGGCAUUCGUAUUAACGCGUCAGAGGUGGAAUUCUUAGAUUGCGUUACGACGAACUACUGCGAAAGCAUUUGCCAAGGAUGUUUUCAUUGAUCAAGAACGAAAGUAUGGGGAUCGAAGAUGAUCAGAUACCAU
RNAcentral lists this ribosomal RNA (421 nucleotides) under uncultured eukaryote. Its description in RNAcentral is "SSU rRNA". It matches the Rfam family "Eukaryotic small subunit ribosomal RNA", at positions 592 to 1018 of the family's 1831-position model. The record is from RNAcentral.